UCUAAUGAUGAGAUUGAAGUGGUGUGCUUGGGUUGCGCUAUACUGCUCCUGCAUCAGCUUUGCCAACUCGAGAGUCAAUGACGAUACGAAACAAAUGCUCAGCAGCUUCAUGUUGUCCAUUUCUGCAGUUGUGAUGUCCUACCUUCAAAACCCACAGCCAAUGAUGGUCCAAUAUAUAAACAGUUCUAUAUUAUCGAUUGUUUUUGGUUGAAUGGAAAUGUAUAAUUGCCUCACCAUACUUGUAUUAAAAUUGUACUGCUGAAUGACAGUGACAAUUUUAGUUUUAAUAAACUAGCUAAUGGUGCCAGGUUUGUAUUAUGAUGUGCAAUAUGGAACAGUGCCAACAUUUGAUGAUGUGCAUGAGUUACAAAAUGGCUUGGUUUGUUAAUCUUUUAAUUUGUGUAGCCUGCACUAUAUAAUUCUUGUGUUAUACUUCCCAUCCAAAAGUUUCUUGUAAGCAGCUUGUCUUUUUUUUUCUUUAACAAAUGGACAAAUUUGUAUUGUCCCAUAACAUUAUCAUGUCAUUCAUGCCAGUGUAAAAGGCAAUAGCAUGAAGGUCAAAGCUUGAAAUAUCCUGGAAUAUGAAGUACCAUACGAGUUGAUCCUCGAGUGACAACCACAUUAGUACAGUAGAUAGCCUCCAUAUUAGACAUAAAAGGAAGACUUGAUCACCACGUUAGAAAUAGAAGAGUGAAAAGGAAUUGGGAGUGGAAUGGUAGGCAGUCAGUAUGGGGGAAGGGAGACUUUUGGAGUACAGUACAGUACUGUCCAUUCAGUAGAGCCAGGCUGUCACCUGAUCGGAUGACAGGCAAAGUUAUCAGUCACUAGCACUGAUUUUAUAGUUUUCUUCGAGGUGACAUCAACUGCCUAAUAUCUUUUUGAUCAUGAAAUUACAUUAACUCCAACCAGUUACUGCUGGCUAAUAAUUCUUAGACAUAAAGGAAAGAGGACAAAUCAGAAGAGCAUGUUAAGAUAGGGCUACCUGAAUAGGUUUCAGUUGUGGUUACUCCAUCAGAGGGGCGUUCAUGGGGAUAAAGACAGAUUCUACAGUAAAUUGUUAAUUCCUCUUUUAGGACUGCCUCCUCUUCCAUUUUGCUUAGUUAUGCAAAGUUGUUGUUUUAUGGUUACAAAGGAAACAUAUCAUUCCUUAAUUUCUUAUUUUGACUGUAUCAGAAUUUAGAAUUUCUAAAAUAUAGUUACAGGUUGUAAGUACAGUAUGUAUAACAGUUUAUACAGUACUAUACUUAGUGUAUAAAAUAUAUAUUAAUGCAGGCCAUAUGUAUUAUUGUUAAAUAUGUACUUUUGUAUUUCAUAGUAAACCUUUUACCAUAAUAUAUAAUUAUCUUCUCCUUUCAAUAGUGCAUUUGUCAUGUUGAAUUAUAUGGUAUAUCAGGAUUUUAUUGGUACUACCUUGUUGACUGCGUGUUCCUCCCGUUACUAUACUGUAUACAGUAUCUCUCCUUCCCAUUACAGUAUUACGCUGAGAUGUAUCAGUAAGGUGGUUGGGCUCACUGGCUCAAGCAAAGAAUAUUCACUAUACAAUACUAUAUUGAAUAUAAAUUCAGUGGAUUUUGUACUACAUGGGAACCUGGUCCAAGAUAGGGAUUUUAAUCUAGUCAGUGACCUGUACAAUGAAUUUGGCAUCUAGAUAAUGCAGAAUUCCUCCAAGACUGAUAAUUUUAAAUUAAUAUUACUAAAAAAUUCAAACAGUGCUUUUUCCAUGGGAUUUCUGCAUCAAAUUAUGCACAAAUGUAUGUCCUAUCAUGUGCACAAAUAAAGGGUGAAUGCUGUGGAUCUUGUUGUCCAUUAAAAUCUGUACAAUAAAGCUUUCAGUCACAUGCCAUCCCUAAGGUG
This is a long non-coding RNA of Procambarus clarkii (red swamp crayfish), 1854 nucleotides long. RefSeq lists it as uncharacterized. NCBI's taxonomy places the organism in Eukaryota, Metazoa, Arthropoda, Malacostraca, Decapoda, Cambaridae. The record is from RefSeq and is a predicted model, not a curated record.